Molecule: ribosomal RNA, 467 nt
Filed under: uncultured bacterium
Lineage: Bacteria
Description: partial 16S ribosomal RNA
Rfam family: Bacterial small subunit ribosomal RNA
Source: RNAcentral
GACGAACGCUGGCGGCGUGCUUAACACAUGAAAGUCGAACGGAAAGGCCUCUUUCGGGGGGUACUCGAGUGGCGAACGGGUGAGUAACACGUGAGUAACCUGCCCUUGACUUUGGGAUAACUUCAGGAAACUGGGGCUAAUACCGGAUAGGAGCUCCUGCUGCCUGGUGGGGGUUGGAAAGUUUCGGCGGCUGGGGAUGGACUCGCGGCUUAUCAGCUUGUUGGUGGGGUAGUGGCUUACCAAGGCUUUGACGGGUAGCCGGCCUGAGAGGGUGACCGGCCACAUUGGGACUGAGAUACGGCCCAGACUCCUACGGGAGGCAGCAGUGGGGAAGAUUGCACAAUGGGUGGAAGCCUGAUGCAGCAACGCCGUGUGCGGGAUGACGGCCUUCGGGUUGUAAACCGCUUUCGCUCAUGACGAAGCUUUGUGUGACGGUAGUGGGUAAAGAAGCACCGGCUAACUACGUG